Salmo salar (Atlantic salmon) is the source of this 58-nucleotide non-coding RNA. The record is from Rfam. Lineage: Eukaryota; Metazoa; Chordata; Actinopteri; Salmoniformes; Salmonidae.
UGACUCAGUUGGUAGAGCAUGGUGUUUGCAACGCCAGGGUUGUGGGUUCGAUUCCCAC